Molecule: ribosomal RNA, 692 nt
Filed under: Rhynchocyon udzungwensis (grey-faced sengi)
Lineage: Eukaryota; Metazoa; Chordata; Mammalia; Macroscelidea; Macroscelididae
Description: partial 12S ribosomal RNA
Rfam family: Bacterial small subunit ribosomal RNA
Source: RNAcentral
UGAAAAUGCCCUUUAAACCACUUUUGGUAUCAAGGAGCUGGUAUCAAGCACACUACACAGUAGCUCAUAACACCUUGCACAGCCACACCCCUACGGGAAACAGCAGUAACAAAAAUUAAGCAAUAAACGAAAGUUCGACUAAGUUAUGCUAAUUAGGGCUGGUCAACUUCGUGCCAGCCACCGCGGUCAUACGAACAGCCCAAAUUAAUAGAACCCGGCGUAAAGAGUGGUUAUGACAUUCACACACUAAAGUUAAAUUUAACCUUAGCUGUAAAAAGCUAAAGGUCUAAAAUUAAAUACCCUACGAAAGUGACUUUAACAAAUCAGAAUCCACGAUAGCUAAGAUACAAACUGGGAUUAGAUACCCCACUAUGCCUAGCCCUAAACCUAGUUAAUUAGUAACAAAAUUACUCGCCAGAGAACUACGAGCAAAAGCUUAAAACUCAAAGGACUUGGCGGUGCUUUAUAUCCACCUAGAGGAGCCUGUUGUAUAAUCGAUAAACCCCGCUUAACCCUACCAUCAUUUGCUAAUCCAGUCUAUAUACCGCCAUCUUCAGCAAACCCUUAAAAGGAACCAAAGUAAGCUUAAUUAUACUUAAUAAAAACGUUAGGUCAAGGUGUAACUUAUAUGAUGGAAACUAAUGGGCUACAUUCUCUUUAAAAGAGUACUACGAACACCCUUAUGAAAAGUA